GACGAACGCUGGCGGCGUGCUUAACGCAUGCAAGUCGAACGGAAAGGCCCUGCUUUUGUGGGGUGCUCGAGUGGCGAACGGGUGAGUAACACGUGAGUAACCUGCCCUUGACUUUGGGAUAACUUCAGGAAACUGGGGCUAAUACCGGAUAGGAGCUCCUGCUGCAUGGUGGGGGUUGGACAGUUUCGGCGGUUGGGGAUGGACUCGCGGCUUAUCAGCUUGUUGGUGGGGUAGUGGCUUACCAAGGCUUUGACGGGUAGCCGGCCUGAGAGGGUGACCGGCAACAUUGGGACUGAGAUACGGCCCAGACUCCUACGGGAGGCAGCAGUGGGGAAUAUUGCACAAUGGGCGGAAGCCUGAUGCAGCAACGCCGCGUGCGGGAUGACGGCCUUCGGGUUGUAAACCGCUUUCGCCUGUGACGAAGCGUGAGUGACGGUAAUGGGUAAAGAAGCACCGGCUAACUACGUG
Molecule: ribosomal RNA, 468 nt
Filed under: uncultured bacterium
Lineage: Bacteria
Description: partial 16S ribosomal RNA
Rfam family: Bacterial small subunit ribosomal RNA
Source: RNAcentral